UGGAGAAGCAGGGCACGUG
Molecule: non-coding RNA, 19 nt
Filed under: Arabidopsis thaliana (thale cress)
Lineage: Eukaryota; Viridiplantae; Streptophyta; Magnoliopsida; Brassicales; Brassicaceae
Also listed under: 1 other name
Source: RNAcentral